AUGAACGCGGACCACUUCGUCAAGAGCGUGGGGUUGGUGGGGAGCAAGAUAUACGUGGUGGGAGGCUAUGUGAACGGUGAGAGUCAUCAAGCUGAAUCGUUCGACCUAAAGACGCAAACUUGGGAGACAGCGCCGAGACCUAACCCAGAAAGGUUGUUUCAUGCGACUGCUGACGUGUCGUUAGACAGGAAGGUUUGUGCGUUACUGUCCCUUGGAGCCAUCGUUGUUUGCUACGAUCCUAGUAGAGAUGGUACUUGUACGAGCUUCGUGUUGCCGAAAGAUAAGUGGUGGAAGACGGGCGUGUGUGUGAUCGACAAUGUGCUCUAUGUUUACUACGCUAGGUUCGGGUUGAUGUGGUAUGACACUGAGCUGAAUGUGUGGAGAGUGGUGAACGGUUUGGAUGAUAUGAAGAAGGUUCGGUCCGUUGCAAUGGCGGAGUACUAUGGGAAGAUGGCGUUUUUGUGGAGGGAAUAUGGUGUUGUUGGUGGUGUGAGGAAGGAGAUUUGGUGUAGGAUGAUUGCGUUGGAUAGGAGUGAAGAAGGGAUCAAUGGGAUUGCCGAAUCGGGUCAGCUUAUGGGGAGUGUACCUCGUGGCUAUACGUGGCAGCAUUGUCUAUCAGUUUCAGAGUAGAGAGGAUAGAUAGACUGAGCUAAUUAUUUUGAAGUUUCGAUACUUUGUUCUCUAUCUUUGUUUUUGCUGAAUCUUUCCAAAGACUAACAGAAGAUUGUUCUGCUUUUGUUAAUGAUGAACAAAGCCUGUGAUUAGUUUACAUCGACCUGAAAUGCGUUACAAUAGAUGGUUUUAUAUGCUUGAAGUUAACUUGUAUGUCAAGUUUCUUUAAAGAUGCUAGUUUCUGAGUUGCAAUGGUUUGAAUAUUUUGCAAAACCAUAUUAUUUCAUGAGUUGUAUUUCAUCGUAUUUAUUUAUUGAUCAUUUAAAAAACAAUUAUUUACCUUGUAACAUAUUUUUACUGACAAAUGAACAUUGUAAAUAAUACUUUUGACGCUACAAUCACGUAUUUAGCUUUUAAAUAUUAUGUAUUAAUUUGAAAGUUUAAAAUGUAAAAUUUUGUUAUUUUGAUGGUUAAAAUCUAUUUUUGUUUUAUGAAAUAAAAUAUAAGAAAUGAAUUUUUAUAUAUUUUUUACGAAAUUUUGUCUAUAAAUAUUUUUUAAAAUUAAAUUAAAAAUUAAACUAAUAUGAAUGUGUGUAAAUAAAGAAAAGAAAGCCUAUUCUCAUGUAUCAUAAUAUGAUGAAUGGACAAGUCGUGAUAAUGCUAGAAGAAUUUAACGGGCCCAAACGUGAGCGUCUCCGUUGUCGAGAAAGGUCUACACGCUAACACCUUUUAAGCCGUUGAUAUGAAAGUGACAAGCACUUCUUUAACGGCGUCACACUGGCAUCUACCAGAUCCAUACACGUGUCCUACCUCGCUCGCCGGAGAUCCACAGGAUUCGCUCUCUCCUCCGCAAAGACUCGCUCUACAUCAGCUUCAUGCACACUGACAAAACCAACGGCGUCCGCACGCCACAUUGGUUCACUCUCCGCAGGGCUGAGAGUACUAACCCGAGUCAUGAGAAUCAGUUCAUCUCCGUCAACCUCGUGUUUCCUAACCACGAAGAGAUCAUGCCGCCUUCCGUCGUCUCUUACGGUCCAGAUCUUUUCUUUAUCUCCGGAUCACUCAUCCCCUCGUCGGCCUUAUGGAUCUUUGACUCUCGAACCAGCCAGUUUCGACAAGGACAAAGCAUGAACGCGGACCACUUCGUCAAGAGCGUGGGGUUGGUGGGGAGCAAGAUAUACGUGGUGGGAGGCUAUGUGAACGGUGAGAGUCAUCAAGCUGAAUCGUUCGACCUAAAGACGCAAACUUGGGAGACAGCGCCGAGACCUAACCCAGAAAGGUUGUUUCAUGCGACUGCUGACGUGUCGUUAGACAGGAAGGUUUGUGCGUUACUGUCCCUUGGAGCCAUCGUUGUUUGCUACGAUCCUAGUAGAGAUGGUACUUGUACGAGC
RNAcentral lists this long non-coding RNA (2003 nucleotides) under Brassica napus (rape). RNAcentral describes it as "long non-coding RNA (BNAP_LNC007258)". Lineage: Eukaryota; Viridiplantae; Streptophyta; Magnoliopsida; Brassicales; Brassicaceae. The record is from RNAcentral.